Sorex fumeus (smoky shrew) is the source of this 104-nucleotide small nucleolar RNA. RefSeq annotates it as small nucleolar RNA U13. The record is from RefSeq and is a predicted model, not a curated record. Lineage: Eukaryota; Metazoa; Chordata; Mammalia; Eulipotyphla; Soricidae. The transcript has a single exon.
CUCCUUUUCCAGUUCGUCAGCAUGGUGAGUGGGUGUUCGCACGUUUGUGUGACAGGUGUCUCCCUUCGAACUCGUUAUGCACUUGGCACGUUCCCCAUCUGACG